UACCUCAUAGUAUAGUACUUUGGCAUCAAGGAACUAUUAAAGUCACAACGGACAAAAGAUGAGCAUGCGUCCCAUUAGCUAGUUGGUAAGGUAACGGCUUACCAAGGCUACGAUGGGUAGGGGUCCUGAGAGGGAGAUCCCCCACACUGGUACUGAGACACGGACCAGACUCCUACGGGAGGCAGCAGUGAGGAAUAUUGGACAAUGGGCGCAAGCCUGAUCCAGCCAUGCCGCGUGCAGGAUGACGGUCCUAUGGAUUGUAAACUGCUUUAUACAGGAAGAAACACUCCGACGUGUCGGAGCUUGACGGUACUGUAAGAAUAAGGAUCGGCUAACUCCGUG
RNAcentral lists this ribosomal RNA (342 nucleotides) under uncultured bacterium. RNAcentral's name for it is "bacterial SSU rRNA". It matches the Rfam family "Bacterial small subunit ribosomal RNA", at positions 167 to 507 of the family's 1533-position model. The record is from RNAcentral.